Molecule: ribosomal RNA, 461 nt
Filed under: uncultured bacterium
Lineage: Bacteria
Description: partial 16S ribosomal RNA
Rfam family: Bacterial small subunit ribosomal RNA
Source: RNAcentral
CCUACGGGUGGCAGCAGUGAGGAAUAUUGGUCAAUGGGCGGGAGCCUGAACCAGCCAAGUCGCGUGAGGGAAGACGGUCCUAUGGAUUGUAAACCUCUUUAGGCGGGGAGCAAUGCCGGGCACGCGUGCCCGGAGGGAGAGUACCCGCAGAAUAAGCAUCGGCUAACUCCGUGCCAGCAGCCGCGGUAAUACGUAUGGGGCAAGCGUUAUCCGGAUUUACUGGGUGUAAAGGGAGCGUAGGCGGCCUGGCAAGCCUGAUGUGAAAUACCGGGGCCCAACCCCGGGGCUGCAUUGGGAACUGGCAGGCUGGAGGGCCGGAGAGGCAGGCGGAAUGCCUAGUGUAGCGGUGAAAUGCGUAGAUAUUAGGAGGAACACCAGUGGCGAAGGCGGCCUGCUGGACGGUGACUGACGCUGAGGCACGAAAGCGUGGGGAGCAAACAGGAUUAGAUACCCCUGUAGUC